AUGAUCGUUCUUUUACCUGUCUUUGUAGGUUUUUGUGGUGACUCUUGUUCUAUUUGCUUGCAACCUGUAAUAUUGUGUCCUUGCUUCUGGCACCCCGAACAUGUCACCUUAGGCUUUGAUAUGAUUUCAUCUACUAUACUUUUCCGCCUCCAUGUUUUCUUGAUUCUUCCUUUUGGUUUGAUGUAUACUGGAUCGUUUAGUUUUUUCUCCCCCUUGCUAUCUGAAGUCAAUAUUUCUCCUGUGAUAGCUGUUAAAUCUGAAGCAGAACAUUUUGGUCGCUCCAUUUCUGGCAUGCAAGAUUUUUUGAUGCCUCAGAAGCUAGUUGAACUAGCCUUCUUGAAAAUAAGAAGAAUGCCAUUUGCUCGUCCAAAUCCUCAAGGUUUGCAUUUUCUUCAUUACCUUGAAAUACUCUCUUUUCCUUAG
RNAcentral lists this ribosomal RNA (423 nucleotides) under Triticum aestivum (bread wheat). RNAcentral describes it as "partial small subunit ribosomal RNA". Lineage: Eukaryota; Viridiplantae; Streptophyta; Magnoliopsida; Poales; Poaceae. The record is from RNAcentral.